This 494-nucleotide ribosomal RNA is filed under the name uncultured bacterium. Its description in RNAcentral is "partial 16S ribosomal RNA". It matches the Rfam family "Bacterial small subunit ribosomal RNA", at positions 28 to 507 of the family's 1533-position model. The record is from RNAcentral.
GACGAACGCUGGCGGCGUGCCUAAUACAUGCAAGUCGAGCGGACUUAACCAGCUUUCUUUUUAAGUUAGCGGCGGACGGGUGAGUAACACGUGGGCAACCUUCCUGUAAGACUGGGAUAACUUCGGGAAACCGGAGCUAAUACCGGAUAAUCCUUUUCUACUCAUGUAGAAAAGCUGAAAGACUUUUUACGCUGUCACUUGCAGAUGGGCCGCGGGCGCAUUAGAUGGUUGGUGAGGUAACGGCUCACCUAGGCGACGAUCCGUAGACGACCUGAGAGGGGGAUAGGCGACAUUGGAAGGGAGACAGGGACAAGGCGACUAAGGGAGGGAGCAGUAGGGAAUCGGAGGCAAUGGACGAAAGUAUGACGGAGCAAGGGCGAGUGAGAGAUGAAGGUGCUGGGAGCGUAAAAAUCGGUUGUGAGGGAAGAACAAGUACGAGAGUAAAUGCACGGAGAGUGACGGUAACGAGCAAGAAAGCAACGGCUAACUACGUG